AAUGUGUGGUUCCAUGCGCAGCUACCAUGCAGUCGAACGAUGAACCGAUUUCGGCCGGGGAUUAGUGGCGAACGGGUGAGUAACACGUGGGCGAUCUGCCCUGCACUCUGGGAUAAGCCCGGGAAACUGGGUCUAAUACCGGAUACAACACUCCUAGGCAUCUCGGGGUGUGGAAAGUUCCGGCGGUGCAGGAUGAGCCCGCGGCCUAUCACCUUGUUGGUGGGGUAAUGGCCUACCAAGGCGACCACCGGUAGCCGGCCUGAGAGGGUGACCGGCCACACUGGGACUGAGACACGGCCCAAACUCCUACGGGAGGCAGCAGUGGGGAAUAUUGCACAAUGGGCGAAAGCCUGAUGCAGCGACUCCCCGAGAGGGAUGACGGCCUUCGGGUUGUAAACCUCUUUCAGCAGGGAAGAAGCGAAAGUGACGGUACCUGCGAGAAGAAGCACCGGCUAACUACGAUGCCAGCAGCCCGCGGAUAAUACGGUACGGUGCGAAGCGUUUGUCCGGGAAUUAUUGGGGCGUAAAGGAGCCUCGUAGGCGGGUUUGUCGCGUUCGAUGGUUGAAAGCCCCGGGGG
This 578-nucleotide ribosomal RNA is filed under the name Streptomyces carpaticus. RNAcentral describes it as "bacterial SSU rRNA". It matches the Rfam family "Bacterial small subunit ribosomal RNA", at positions 32 to 768 of the family's 1533-position model. The record is from RNAcentral. Lineage: Bacteria; Bacillati; Actinomycetota; Actinomycetes; Kitasatosporales; Streptomycetaceae.